ACUUUACCAAGUUGUUCCAACUUCUGUUAUUGACCCUUUGCUUAAUGAAUUGUUUGAUGAUGAUAAAAUGGUAAUUUUCUAUUUCUAUUAUUCAUUCUUUAAUUCUAUUACAUAUGUUAGCUGGUACUCUGUGAAUAACUUUUUUUUUCUUUUUCAACGUAGGGGUGAGGAGUGUGUGUGUGUGUGUGUGUGUGUGUGUGUGUGUGUGUGUGUGUGUUGGCUUUUUGUGACUUAAAGACAAGACCCAAAAGUUUAUAUGAAUAAAUCCCACAGUACUGACCAUAUCCUGCUUAAAAUGCCCCACAUGUGGUUAGAUGCUUUCCUUUAUGACUGGUCUUUGAUGUGGAUCUCAAGCCUUCCAAGAUCUCUGAAUGAGCCAAUUCCACAGGUGUAUGUUUCUUCCUGGCUCUCCAAGCACAAGAACACCAGCAAUAUUGUAUGAGGAAUUUAGGCAAUGUACACAGGAGUCCAAAAAGGGAAUACUCUUGUAAACUAUACACAUAAAAGUCCUUGUUAGGGGGUGAGGUUAACACACUCGGGGAUGGAAAUAAGGCAGGAAAUAUUCAGGGCCAGGUUGGAAUAGUGUAGUUAUUUGGGAUACCUUACAAACUGUCAAGUUGAUAAAAUUUAACUCUUAGAGCACACACUGAGUAGAACAAGAAAAAUAAAGAGAAAUAUUAAUAAACAAGAAAUGAAAGUGUCAAGGUAUAUCAGAGACAGGUAGGAAAGGGAGCUUCCUUGUUUACUUCAGAACUCUCUGAAUUUAUAGUGGAUUUAACACAGAUUCACCUCCCCUCAACAGGGAGCUUAGCGGCCUCUCUGUGUGGAAGACCAGACUGGCUUAAUGGAACCAAAUGUCUGAAUGGGGCAGCCUCCGUCAUAGGAAAUGCUGUCCACGACACUCGCACCUCCUUGUCCGGUCUCUGCGGCUCAUUUCCUGUGGGUGCUGGUCUCACGUGGCAUCAGCAACAAAGCUGAGACGUAAUCUUUCUAUUUGUACCUGGCCAGGAAGUUCCUCCACUCACACAGUUUCGCGCUGUUUCAUUUCUGACCCACUUUCUUCACCUCCUUCGUUUGUUUCCUUCAAGAGCAGUUUUAGCUCCCAACCCCAGCCAGUGCCUUGCUUAAAUUGCUUUAAUCUCCAAGUGCUUCUUAUAUUGAUUUUAAACAGUUAAGCUGCCAAUCAACUUCUCUCCUUGUGCAGCAGCCGAGGGCAGAGAGAUUAAAACAACAAACAAAUAAGGCUGAACCUAGGAAGUUGGUUAGAAUUUCCAAAUGAAUGUUAGCAGCUCCUCUGUCCCC
This 1302-nucleotide long non-coding RNA is filed under the name Homo sapiens (human). RNAcentral describes it as "HSALNT0154602". The record is from RNAcentral. Lineage: Eukaryota; Metazoa; Chordata; Mammalia; Primates; Hominidae.